AGAGUUUGAUUCUGGCUCAGGAUGAACGCUGGCGGCGUGCCUAACACAUGCAAGUCGAACGAAGCGUUUACAUGGAUUUCCUUCGGGGAUGAAGGGUUUAUGACUGAGUGGCGGACGGGUGAGUAACGCGUGGGCAACCUGCCCCGUACCGGGGGACAACAGCCGGAAACGGCUGCUAAUACCGUAUACGUUUUAAGGACCGCAUGGUCCGUAAAACAAAACUCCGGUGGUACGGGAUGGGCCCGCGUCUGAUUAGCUCGUUGGCGGGGUAACGGCCCACCAAGGCGACGAUCAGUAGCCGGCCUGAGAGGGCGGCCGGCCACAUUGGGACUGAGACACGGCCCAGACUCCUGCGGGAGGCAGCAGUGGGGAAUAUUGCACAAUGGGGGAAACCCUGAUGCAGCGACGCCGCGUGAGCGAGGAAGUACCUCGGUAUGUAAAGCUCUGUCAGCAGGGAAGAAAAUGACAGUACCUGACCAAAAAGCCCCGGCUAACUACGUGCCAGCAACCGCGGUAAUACGU
This 522-nucleotide ribosomal RNA is filed under the name uncultured bacterium. RNAcentral describes it as "bacterial SSU rRNA". It matches the Rfam family "Bacterial small subunit ribosomal RNA", at positions 8 to 528 of the family's 1533-position model. The record is from RNAcentral.